AAUUGAAGAGUUUGAUCAUGGCUCAGAUUGAACGCUGGCGGCAGGCCUAACACAUGCAAGUCGAGCGGAAACGGCAGCAUUGAAGCUUCGGUGGAUUUGCUGGACGUCGAGCGGCGGACGGGUGAGUAACGGCUGGGAACCUGCCCUGACGMGGGGGAUAACCGUUGGAAACGACGGCUAAUACCGCAUAAUGUCUUAGUUCAUUACGAGCUGGGACCAAAGGUGGCCUCUACAUGUAAGCUAUCGCGUUGGGAUGGGCCCAGUUAGGAUUAGCUAGUUGGUAAGGUAAUGGCUUACCAAGGCGACGAUCCUUAGCUGGUUUGAGAGGAUGAUCAGCCACACUGGGACUGAGACACGGCCCAGACUCCUACGGGAGGCAGCAGUGGGGAAUAUUGCACAAUGGGGGAGACCUUAAUARGUGCAUGGCUUGACGUUAGCUGCAGAAGAAGCACCGGCUAACUCCGUGCCAGCAGCCGCGGUAAUACGGAGGGUGCGAGCGUUAAUCGGAAUUACUGGGCGUAAAGCGCAUGCAGGCGGUUUGUUAAGUCAGAUGUGAAAGCCCGGGGCUCAACCUCGGAACCGCAUUUGAAACUGGCAGGCUAGAGUCUUGUAGAGGGGGGUAGAAUUUCAGGUGUAGCGGUGAAAUGCGUAGAGAUCUGAAGGAAUACCAGUGGCGAAGGCGGCCCCCUGGACAAAGACUGACGCUCAGAUGCGAAAGCGUGGGUAGCAAACAGGAUUAGAUACCCUGGUAGUCCACGCCGUAAACGCUGUCUACUUGGAGGUUGAGGUUUAGACUUUGGCUUUCGGCGCUAACGCAUUAAGUAGACCGCCUGGGGAGUACGGCCGCAAGGUUAAAACUCAAAUGAAUUGACGGGGGCCCGCACAAGCGGUGGAGCAUGUGGUUUAAUUCGAUGCAACGCGAAGAACCUUACCUACUCUUGACAUCCAGCGAAKCCUUUAGAGAUAGAGGMGUGCCYUCGGGAGCGCUGAGACAGGUGCUGCAUGGCUGUCGUCAGCUCGUGUUGUGAAAUGUUGGGUUAAGUCCCGCAACGAGCGCAACCCUUAUCCUUGUUUGCCAGCACRUAAUGGUGGGAACUCCAGGGAGACUGCCGGUGAUAAACCGGAGGAAGGUGGGGACGACGUCAAGUCAUCAUGGCCCUUACGAGUAGGGCUACACACGUGCUACAAUGGCAGAUACAGAGGGCAGCGAAGCUGCGAAGUGGAGCGAAUCCCUUAAAGUYUGUCGUAGUCCGGAUUGGAGUCUGCAACUCGACUCCAUGAAGUCGGAAUCGCUAGUAAUCGUGGAUCAGAAUGCCACGGUGAAUACGUUCCCGGGCCUUGUACACACCGCCCGUCACACCAUGGGAGUGGGCUGCACCAGAAGUAGAUAGCUUAACCUUCGGGAGGGCGUUUACCACGGUGUGGUUCAUGACUGGGGUGAAGUCGUAACAAGGUAGCCCUAGGGGAACCUGGGGCUGGAUCACCUCCUUA
Molecule: ribosomal RNA, 1491 nt
Filed under: Salinivibrio kushneri
Lineage: Bacteria; Pseudomonadati; Pseudomonadota; Gammaproteobacteria; Vibrionales; Vibrionaceae
Description: bacterial SSU rRNA
Rfam family: Bacterial small subunit ribosomal RNA
Source: RNAcentral